CCAAAAUGACUUCUGCACACCACCUGCUGUUUGCUCUUUUUGUUAUGUCUUUGACCAGCUCACUGAGAAAGCCGCACAUGCUCAGUUUCAUCUUUCAACUGCCUCCUGACCUGUGAUAGGGAGAGCUGAGUCACG
Bufo bufo (common toad) is the source of this 135-nucleotide long non-coding RNA. RefSeq lists it as uncharacterized. Lineage: Eukaryota; Metazoa; Chordata; Amphibia; Anura; Bufonidae. The transcript has 3 exons. The record is from RefSeq and is a predicted model, not a curated record.